GACGAACGCUGGCGGCGUGCUUAACACAUGCAAGUCGAACGGAAAGGCCCUGCUUGCAGGGUACUCGAGUGGCGAACGGGUGAGUAACACGUGGGUGAUCUGCCCUGCACUUCGGGAUAAGCCUGGGAAACUGGGUCUAAUACCGGAUAGGAGCCAUUUUAGUGUGAUGGUUGGAAAGUUUUUUCGGUGUAGGAUGAGCUCGCGGCCUAUCAGCUUGUUGGUGGGGUAAUGGCCUACCAAGGCGGCGACGGGUAGCCGGCCUGAGAGGGUGGACGGCCACAUUGGGACUGAGAUACGGCCCAGACUCCGACGGGAGGCAGCAGUGGGGAAUAUUGCACAAUGGGCGCAAGCCUGAUGCAGCGACGCCGCGUGGGGGAUGACGGCCUUCGGGUUGUAAACUCCGUUCGCUAGGGACGAAGCUUUUUGUGACGGUACCUAGAUAAGAAGCACCGGCUAACUACGUG
RNAcentral lists this ribosomal RNA (464 nucleotides) under uncultured bacterium. RNAcentral describes it as "partial 16S ribosomal RNA". It matches the Rfam family "Bacterial small subunit ribosomal RNA", at positions 28 to 507 of the family's 1533-position model. The record is from RNAcentral.